GACGAACGCUGGCGGCGUGCUUAACACAUGCAAGUCGAACGGAAAGGCACUGCUUGUUUGGGGUGCUCGAGUGGCGAACGGGUGAGUAACACGUGAGUAACCUGCCCUUGACUUUGGGAUAACUUCAGGAAACUGGGGCUAAUAUCGGAUAGGAGCUCCUGCUGCAUGGUGGGGGGUGGAAAGUUUCGGCGGUUGGGGAUGGACUCGCGGCUUAUCAGCUUGCUGGUGGGGUAGUGGCUUACCAAGGCUUUGACGGGUAGCCGGCCUGAGAGGGUGACCGGCCACAUUGGGACUGAGAUACGGCCCAGACUCCUACGGGAGGCAGCAGUGGGGAAUAUUGCACAAUGGGCGGAAGCCUGAUGCAGCAACGCCGCGUGCGGGAUGACGGCCUUCGGGUUGUAAACCGCUUUCGCCUGUGACGAAGCGUGUGUGACGGUACUGGGUAAAGAAGCACCGGCUAACUACGUG
Molecule: ribosomal RNA, 468 nt
Filed under: uncultured bacterium
Lineage: Bacteria
Description: partial 16S ribosomal RNA
Rfam family: Bacterial small subunit ribosomal RNA
Source: RNAcentral